ACCCGGGACACCCUGUAUAGUAGAAUAAAUAUUUUAUUUAGUAAGGGGGGAGGGUCAAGUAAAAUGACCAAAAAAUUGAUUUUUUUUGCUUAAAUCAAUAGUUUUUGAUGUAUAGAAUAUGCUCCUACACUUUUAGAAUGAAAUUCGAACUCUAAAUGUCGUUAUAGCGUCGGUUUUAGUGACGCGCUCCGGCCGGGCGCCAAGCGCGGGUAUACGAGCGCACGUACAGGCGUUUUAUCUUUCGGUCCCUUGGCAUAAUAUCUUUAGGAUGUUUGCUAUUUUGACGAUUGAUAGUCAGUAACAGUAACAGUAUAUAUCUAUAGGUGGUGGUUGCUUUGAUAAGAUAGCGUCCCGAGAUGAACAAAGGAAAGAUCGUGCUCUCAUUGUCAGUAUUUCUGCGUCAUUCGUGUCAAGCAGUCGUUUUACAUUUCAUUUUUGAACUUUGCAAACGUGAAAAUGAGUAGAAAAGUAAGUGCCGAUGAACCUAAUUAUCGCCCAAAUUAUCCACAUCGACGAAAAUUUCGUGGGAAUCAGUUUAAAACGAUAGGAGCGGCGCAGCCUCGAGAGCACCAAAGAGGCAAGGACAGCUCGUAAAGAGGAACAAGCGGCUUUGCUCGAGCAAUUCGAGGAAAAGGAAGGUCUAUUGUAUGGACCUGGCAUCGCAGACUGAUAUAAAUCAACUAUGAUUACAGCGGUCUCUGCGAUCCACGGCGCGUUCGUGAGGAGGCAACUUCAACCAGCUACUGCUCAAUGAAUUUUCAUUAUUUUUACAUAAAAAAUUCCUAUGUGCAGUUUAAAUACUAUAUAAAAACAUGCACUAAUUUUCAAAACAAUCGAUUUAUUCUCUUCGAAAAAAAAUCGCAAAAUUUAGGUCAUUUACUUGACCCUCCCCCCUUAAUACAAUGUAAAAUAUUAAAGAGAAAAAUUUAGCUACCCGCGGUAUAACCACAAAUUUUACAUUUUGUCCGCCAAACAAUCUAGUUGCGUAUCCCUGCUCUAUGUCCAUAAUGUACGGAGCAUCCAUCAUGUGGGUACUAUAUUUUACUCGGUGAAUAUUCAAUUGUACAUCCUCUAAUAACAUUCCGAGAUCGUUGCGUA
Ooceraea biroi (clonal raider ant) is the source of this 1098-nucleotide long non-coding RNA. RefSeq lists it as uncharacterized. Lineage: Eukaryota; Metazoa; Arthropoda; Insecta; Hymenoptera; Formicidae. The record is from RefSeq and is a predicted model, not a curated record.